CCUACGGGAGGCAGCAGUAAGGAAUCUUCCACAAUGGGCGAAAGUCUGAUGGAGCAACGCCGCGUGCAGGAUGAAGGCUUUCGGGUCGUAAACUGCUUUUAUAUGGGAAGAUUAUGACGGUACCGUAUGAAUAAGGACCGGCUAACUACGUGCCAGCAGCCGCGGUAAUACGUAGGGUCCAAGCGAUAUCCGGAAUUACUGGGCGUAAAGCGUGUGUAGGUGGAUUAAUAAGUGUGAUGCGAAAUCCGGCGGCUCAACCGUUUGGACUGUGUCGCAUACUGUUAGUCUAGAGGACGGCAGAGGUAAGUGGAAUUACGGGUGUAGCAGUGAAAUGCGUAGAUAUCCGUAGGAACACCAAUGGCGAAGGCAGCUUACUGGGCCACACCUGACACUGAGACACGAAAGCGUGGGGAGCGAACAGGAUUAGAUACCCUGGUAGUCCACGCCGUAAACGAUGCAUACUAUUAGUAUGGGGUAUCGACCCCCUGUGCUGAGAAGCUAACGCGAUAAGUAUGCCGCCUGGGGAGUACGAGCGCAGACUAAACUACAAGAAGUAGACGCGNGAGACGUGCCGACGGACGACGACGAGGGAGUAGG
This 597-nucleotide ribosomal RNA is filed under the name uncultured bacterium. RNAcentral's name for it is "bacterial SSU rRNA". It matches the Rfam family "Bacterial small subunit ribosomal RNA", at positions 338 to 951 of the family's 1533-position model. The record is from RNAcentral.